This is a microRNA precursor of Theobroma cacao (cacao), 97 nucleotides long. Lineage: Eukaryota; Viridiplantae; Streptophyta; Magnoliopsida; Malvales; Malvaceae. The record is from Rfam.
UUGAAAAUUUGAUGUUGGCACGGUUCAAUCGGAUCAAAUCUCUCAGUGGCUGAGUCCUUUAGUCUGAUUGAGCCGUGCCAAUAUCACAUUCAGUCAC